UCUUCGGGAUGAGCGGCGGACGGGUGAGUAACGCGUGGGAAUGUGCCCUUCUCUACGGAAUAGCCACUGGAAACGGUGAGUAAUACUGUAUACGCCCUUAGGGGGAAAGAUUUAUCGGAGAAGGAUCAGCCCGCGUUAGAUUAGGUAGUUGGUGGGGUAACGGCCUACCAAGCCUACGAUCUAUAGCUGGUUUUAGAGGAUGAUCAGCCACACUGGGACUGAGACACGGCCCAGACUCCUACGGGAGGCAGCAGUAGGGAAUCUUGGACAAUGGGGGAAACCCUGAUCCAGCCAUGCCGCGUGUGUGAAGAAGGCCUUAGGGUCGUAAAGCACUUUCGCCAGAGAUGAUAAUGACAGUAUCUGGUAAAGAAACCCCGGCUAACUCCGUGCCAGCAGCCGCGGUAAUACGGAGGGGGUUAGCGUUGUUCGGAAUUACUGGGCGUAAAGCGCACGUAGGCGGACUGGAAAGUUGGGGGUGAAAUCCCGGGGCUCAACCUCGGAACUGCCUCCAAAACUAUCAGUCUAGAGUUCGAGAGAGGUGAGUGGAAUUCCAAGUGUAGAGGUGAAAUUCGUAGAUAUUUGGAGGAACACCAGUGGCGAAGGCGGCUCACUGGCUCGAUACUGACGCUGAGGUGCGAAAGUGUGGGGAGCAAACAGGAUUAGAUACCCUGGUAGUCCACACCGUAAACGAUGAAUGCCAGUCGUCGGCAAGUAUACUUGUCGGUGACACACCUAACGGAUUAAGCAUUCCGCCUGGGGAGUACGGUCGCAAGAUUAAAACUCAAAGGAAUUGACGGGGGCCCGCACAAGCGGUGGAGCAUGUGGUUUAAUUCGAAGC
This 838-nucleotide ribosomal RNA is filed under the name uncultured marine bacterium. RNAcentral describes it as "bacterial SSU rRNA". It matches the Rfam family "Bacterial small subunit ribosomal RNA", at positions 83 to 957 of the family's 1533-position model. The record is from RNAcentral.